RNAcentral lists this long non-coding RNA (435 nucleotides) under Mytilus galloprovincialis (Mediterranean mussel). Lineage: Eukaryota; Metazoa; Mollusca; Bivalvia; Mytilida; Mytilidae. The record is from RNAcentral.
UUACUCUCAAAAUUUAGACUAAGUGAUCAUUCCCUAGGCAUUGAAUUAGGAAGGUACAGAAACAUUCCAAGAGCACAAAGAUUAUGUAAAAAAUGUGAAGUCCUAGAUGAUGAAUAUCAUUUCUUUUUGUAAUGUAACAUUAACAUAUCUUUGCGUUCUAAUCUUUUUGCUUAUCUAAAAGACUAUGUACCAUUAUUUCAGCAUCUUGAUGCAUUCAAUAAACUUAAACACAUUCUAAACCCCAUCCCUGAACUUGUUUGUCAUAUUGGAGUCUUCAUUAAACAGUCUUUAGAACUGAGGGAGUCAGACCGUGUCAGGCAAGGUUAUGAUGGUGUUUUUUACAUACAUUUAUAAUUGAACUCUAAUGUUCUAUUAUUCCAUAUAUUGUAUUGUAUUAUUUUGUAUUUCAUUGUAUUACAUUGUUUUUCAUUGUAU